CACUGCCUGUCAUCCAAGCUGUCACCGCAUAGAAUUAGAACAAUAGCUGAUAGCAAAGAUCGCCGGUGACGGAUAAAGUUAGAGUCCAAAGAGGGAGAAGCUAGGACAAAUUUACUAUUCUACUUAUAACUAAUUGAAUUCGAUAUUCUACCUAAACAUACAAUUCGAUGUGUACAAGAUUGUUAGCUUAGUUGUAGCGUCGGAAGACAGACCCAUUGGUUCUGCAUCAUGAUACCUAAAGUUUUAAAGCUGCACGAAAACGUAAACGUAUGCGUAUUCAAUGUGCUGCUCACAACUCGGUGUUUCGGUGCCUGUCUUGGUCUGAUCCGCGCC
Long non-coding RNA from Aedes albopictus (Asian tiger mosquito), 333 nucleotides. RefSeq lists it as uncharacterized. Lineage: Eukaryota; Metazoa; Arthropoda; Insecta; Diptera; Culicidae. The record is from RefSeq and is a predicted model, not a curated record. The transcript has 3 exons.